GCACCCGUAGUUCAGAGGACAGAACGCUUCCCUCCGAAGGAAGAGGCCGCUGGUUCAAAUCCAGCCGGGCGCA
Molecule: transfer RNA, 73 nt
Filed under: bacterium
Lineage: Bacteria
Description: tRNA-Arg
Rfam family: tRNA
About the family: Transfer RNA (tRNA) molecules are approximately 80 nucleotides in length. Their secondary structure includes four short double-helical elements and three loops (D, anti-codon, and T loops).
Source: RNAcentral